CUUCUCCUGUCUGAGGGAGUCUUUCUAAGACCUACAGUUUAUUGUCUGUCCCCUUGGAAUGACUUCAGCGCUAGCCCUAGAUGAUCACUCUUCACCUAAGACCCCCAUAACAUUUAGAAGCUGGAUGAAGUGAUGAAAUGGGGAACAUAUCCAGGAAGGAAAGUUCUCUGUGUUCAAGGGAAACAUUGCAAUCUGAUUGAGGUUCAUUCCCUUCUUACCUGCUGCAGGCCAGAGGCAAUCCUUCAGACUGAAUGAGGAAGAAACACAGAUGGUCUGUCUGGAUAAGGAAAAGAAGAAGAACAUUCUAGAGAAAUGGAUAGCUGGCAUAAAGUUUCAUGCCUCCUCUUCAGAGAAUAACAGAGUUCAUUUGGCUGGAGUUCAGGGGCUUCUUCUUUGUGACCUGUCCUGGGAAGACACCAGCGGGGCCUAGUUAGGAAACCUCUGAAGAGCUGAGUUAGGCUUACUGCCUUGCUGCUGUUCUGGCUGC
Long non-coding RNA from Phodopus roborovskii (desert hamster), 487 nucleotides. RefSeq lists it as uncharacterized. NCBI's taxonomy places the organism in Eukaryota, Metazoa, Chordata, Mammalia, Rodentia, Cricetidae. The transcript has 3 exons. The record is from RefSeq and is a predicted model, not a curated record.